GCAUAUCAAUAAGCGGAGGAAAAGAAACUAACAAGGAUUCCCCUAGUAACGGCGAGUGAAGCGGGAAGAGCUCAAAUUUGUAAUCUGGCACUUUCAGUGUCCGAGUUGUAAUCUCGAGAAGUGUUUUCCGCGCCGGACUGCAUACAAGUCUGUUGGAAUACAGCGUCAUAGUGGUGAGAACCCCGUAACUGAUGCAGAUGCCCGGUGCUUUGUGAUACACUUUCGAAGAGUCGAGUUGUUUGGGAAUGCAGCUCAAAUUGGGUGGUAAAUUCCAUCUAAAGCUAAAUAUUGGCGAGAGACCGAUAGCGAACAAGUACCGUGAGGGAAAGAUGAAAAGCACUUUGGAAAGAGAGUUAACAGUACGUGAAAUUGUUGGAAGGGAAACGAUUGAAGUCAGACUUGUUAUCUGGAGUUCAGCCUUUCGGUGUACUCUCCAGUUUACAGGCCAGCAUCAGUUUUCGGGGCGGGAAAAUCGUAAUUUGAAGGUAGCAGCCUAGCUGUGUUAUAGCUUUUUACUGGAUUCCGCUUUGGGGACUGAGGAACGCAGUGUGCUUUUAGCAAUACCCUCGGGUAUUUCACACUUAGGAUGCUGGUGGAAUGGCUUUAAACGACCCGUCUUGAAACACGGACCAAGGAGUCUAACAUGCUUGCGAGUAUUUGGGUGUCAAACCCGGAUGCGCAAUGAAAGUGAAUGAAGGUGGGAUCCGCAAGGUGCACCAUCGACCGAUCUGGAUUUUUUAAGAUGGAUUUGAGUAAGAGCAAUUAUGUUGGGACCCGAAAGAUGGUGAACUAUGCCUGAAUAGGGCGAAGCCAGAGGAAACUCUGGUGGAGGCUCGUAGCGGUUCUGACGUGCAAAUCGAUCGUCAAAUUUGGGUAUAGGGGCGAAAGACUAAUCGAACCAUCUAGUAGCUGGUUCCUGCCGAAGUU
Molecule: ribosomal RNA, 927 nt
Filed under: Curvibasidium cygneicollum
Lineage: Eukaryota; Fungi; Basidiomycota; Microbotryomycetes
Description: LSU rRNA
Rfam family: Eukaryotic large subunit ribosomal RNA
Source: RNAcentral